Molecule: ribosomal RNA, 397 nt
Filed under: uncultured bacterium
Lineage: Bacteria
Description: bacterial SSU rRNA
Rfam family: Bacterial small subunit ribosomal RNA
Source: RNAcentral
UACAUGGGAAUCUGCCCAGUCGUGGGGGAUAACGUAGGGAAACUUACGCUAAUACCGCAUGCGCCCUUCGGGGGAAAGCCGGGGACCUUCGGGCCUGGCGCGAUUGGAUGAGCCCAUGUCGGAUUAGCUAGUUGGCGGGGUAAUGGCCCACCAAGGCGACGAUCCGUAGCUGGUCUGAGAGGAUGAUCAGCCACACUGGAACUGAGACACGGUCCAGACUCCUACGGGAGGCAGCAGUAGGGAAUAUUGGACAAUGGGCGCAAGCCUGAUCCAGCCAUGCCGCGUGAGUGAAGAAGGCCCUCGGGUUGUAAAGCUCUUUUGUCCGGAAAGAAAAGCGCCGGGUUAAUACCCUAGUGUCCUGACGGUACCGGAAGAAUAAGCACCGGCUAACUUCGUG